Cavia porcellus (domestic guinea pig) is the source of this 772-nucleotide long non-coding RNA. RefSeq lists it as uncharacterized. NCBI's taxonomy places the organism in Eukaryota, Metazoa, Chordata, Mammalia, Rodentia, Caviidae. The transcript has 4 exons. The record is from RefSeq and is a predicted model, not a curated record.
UAUUUCCCAUUUUGGGAAUUAGGCUAAGAACUAUGCAGGAGACAGAAAUAAUUCCUUUUUCGAGCCUGGCCAGGCCUGCAGCAGCCUGAACACUGGCACAGAACCAGUGCUGGGAAGGGCCUGAGAGGGGGCAGCUGGGACGGGGCUGAGUCCUGGGCCCAGAGAGACAAAGGCCUGGCUUGUGCAACAAAGCCUCCUCAUCCAGUUCCAGGAACCUGAAAGAUACAAGGCUCCCAGUGUGGAGCUGCCAGGCCAGAAAACAGCUCAAGGAUCUGACACCAGGAAAACUGUGGCUCUUCCCCAAAGUCAAAAUGACCAUGACAAAUGAACAUUUUGAAUCACGUCAAGCUUCUAAGGCAGUCACAAUAGAGCCACAACGGACGUUUUCCAAAGAGGCCAUUCUGAACUGCUUCAGAAAGUAGCAACAACCAAGGGGCAAUGUCCCAAGGGCGCACUGUUCUGAUUUCCGUCCCUACAGCAGAAUCUGGCUUCUCCUGGAACCUCACAUGUGUGCAGUUGCACAGCAUGUCCUUGACCAGGACUAGGAUGCAUCUCAGAUCUCUCCUUGCUGGAUGACCUCAGGCAAGUGCUUAAAAUCUCCACUCUGAUGGGGUGUGCUGGCACAUUCCUGUAAGCCCAACACUUGGGAGGCUGAGGCAAGAGGAUCACUGUGAGUUCGAGACCAGCCUGGGCUACAAAGUGAAUUCAAGGCCAGCCUGAACUGCAGCAAGAUCCUGUUUCAAAAAGACCAAAAAAUAAAAAAUAAAACAAA